UGGAUGUUUCGACAAGAGUUUAGACUUCUCGAAGUCUGACGGAACUAAAGUGAUGGUGGACAACAAAUUCUUGAAGGCCAACAAUCCCUUACUUUUAAUAAACUUCUAUGAGAAACAUCUACGGUACAGUCCCACAUGAUAAGUGGGUCGACGGCUGGAGGAUGGAUGCCACAUCGUUUUCUCUGGUUUUCUUCGUGUAUAGAUUGUUGUAAUUUUGUAGCUAAAGGUCAAAAGUGCGAGGUAAGUACUGAUAUGUUCUAUAGGGAUGCUGCUGAUAAAUAGUGUCAAGCUCAACUGUUCCUUUGCGGCUUGUUUGAUAAGAUGGUUUUGUACAGUAUUGGACAGUAUUAAGGACGAAAAAGAGGCAAGAAAAUUUUGUCUAUCGUAUUGUUUAGUCUUGUGCUGUCCAAUACUGUGUACCAAAAAUACAUUUGUAUUGGACAUUUUUUACUUUUUUACUGUUACGUAUUUAUCUAGACGUGGUUUAAGUAAAAUUAAAGCUGAAA
Long non-coding RNA from Olea europaea var. sylvestris, 506 nucleotides. RefSeq lists it as uncharacterized. NCBI's taxonomy places the organism in Eukaryota, Viridiplantae, Streptophyta, Magnoliopsida, Lamiales, Oleaceae. The transcript has 3 exons. The record is from RefSeq and is a predicted model, not a curated record.